RNAcentral lists this long non-coding RNA (401 nucleotides) under Mytilus galloprovincialis (Mediterranean mussel). Lineage: Eukaryota; Metazoa; Mollusca; Bivalvia; Mytilida; Mytilidae. The record is from RNAcentral.
CUUUUAAAUAACAGAUACAUGUAAGAUAAUUUAAUGUUGCAUAUUAAGUUAUACUUUAUUUAAACAUUAUUUAAUAUACCUAUUAAAAAGAUUGAUCUGUUAUUAUGUUGAUGGAUUUAAGGUAUUGAAGUAAAUGAAUAAAUAAAUAGAAAAUGUGUGCUGCUGUAUAUGAUUAUUAACUUUUCUUGAUGGAGGGCAGGACUUUUUCGGGACGUCUGGAUUGGGUGUUUUUAAGCUCAGGAUUUUGGGAUCCAGGAUUUUCUUUCGUGAUUUUUUUUUUUAAUUUGGGACAUCAGAAGAUCAUGUUUUUAGCCCAGGAUUUUGGGAUCAGGACCCCUGCAACACCCCCACCUUUUUCUUUGACAUAUAAUAUAAAGUCAUUAAAAAUAAAUCAAUUAUUU